RNAcentral lists this ribosomal RNA (253 nucleotides) under uncultured bacterium. RNAcentral's name for it is "partial 16S ribosomal RNA". It matches the Rfam family "Bacterial small subunit ribosomal RNA", at positions 524 to 776 of the family's 1533-position model. The record is from RNAcentral.
UACGAAGGGGGCUAGCGUUGUUCGGAUUUACUGGGCGUAAAGCGCACGUAGGCGGAUCCUUAAGUCAGGGGUGAAAUCCCGGGGCUCAACCUCGGAACUGCCUUUGAUACUGGGGAUCUCGAGUCCGGGAGAGGUGAGCGGAACUGCGAGUGUAGAGGUGAAAUUCGUAGAUAUUCGCAAGAACACCAGUGGCGAAGGCGGCUCACUGGCCCGGUACUGACGCUGAGGUGCGAAAGCCAGGGGAGCAAACGGG